Molecule: long non-coding RNA, 532 nt
Filed under: Fukomys damarensis (Damara mole-rat)
Lineage: Eukaryota; Metazoa; Chordata; Mammalia; Rodentia; Bathyergidae
Description: lncRNA (ENSFDAG00000033215.1)
Source: RNAcentral
UGGAAAACAGGCAUAAUGCCAUUCAUUUGACAGAUUUUUACAGAUGAGGCAUUCUGAUUAUUUCAGGUCAUGUUGUCACACCAUCCUGUGAGGCCUUAACAUCCCUCUUGAUUUCCCUCCUUUGAGAGCAAGUGAGCUUCCAAGGAUGCCUGCUGCUUAUUUAUGGUUUAGUUCAGGCUCUUAGCAUUGGCUUUUCCUCCACCCAAACUAAGAGCUUUCAGUGUGGAGGGGCUGCUGGGCUCAGAGCAGGAGAGGCGCUUGGGCACCAGUGAGUGGCUGGAGCUGAGGGCCCACUUCCUCCCUUCCAGCUUCCUGCAUGUGGCUCUUGCAGCUGCCAGCUCAGUGGGAGAAGAAACUGCUCAGCCGUGUAGGAGGCCUGCUCUGCACUUGGGGACUCAGGGCUGCAGGCCACGGCAACAGCUUCUGGCAUCUCCCCGCUUCCCUACUGUCCCCUCUGCAGCACACCUAUCACCAUAUCUGUGCAGCUGGCCGAGCUCUCCGUCCUCAGGUCCCUGUUCACAUGGAGUGUUGA